RNAcentral lists this ribosomal RNA (570 nucleotides) under Parachelon grandisquamis (largescaled mullet). RNAcentral's name for it is "partial 16S ribosomal RNA". It matches the Rfam family "Bacterial large subunit ribosomal RNA", at positions 1851 to 2619 of the family's 2925-position model. The record is from RNAcentral. Lineage: Eukaryota; Metazoa; Chordata; Actinopteri; Mugiliformes; Mugilidae.
GGUCCUGCCUGCCCUGUGACCCCUGGUUUAACGGCCGCGGUAUUUUGACCGUGCAAAGGUAGCGCAAUCACUUGUCUCUUAAAUGAGGACCUGUAUGAAUGGCAAAACGAGGGCUUAACUGUCUCCUUUCCCCGGUCAGUGAAAUUGAUCUCCCCGUGCAGAAGCGGGGAUCCUAACAUAAGACGAGAAGACCCUAUGGAGCUUUAGACUAAAAACAGACCAUGUAAGCUAUCUUCAAAAACCAGAUAAUAACUAUUGAAUACCUGUUCCUCUGUCUUUGGUUGGGGCGACUACGGGGAAGAAAAAAACCCCCACGUGGACCAGGAGCAUAUUACUCCUACAAUCAUGAGCCACAGCUCUAAUGCACAAAAUCUUUGACCAUUUGAUCCGGCAAAGCCGAUCAACGGACCAAGUUACCCUAGGGAUAACAGCGCAAUCCCCUUUAAGAGUCCAUAUCGACAAGGGGGUUUACGACCUCGAUGUUGGAUCAAGACAUCCUAAUGGUGCAGCCGCUAUUAAGGGUUCGUUUGUUCAACGAUUAAAGUCUUACGUGAUCUGAGUUCAGACCGG